UACGGGGGGUGCGAGCGUUGUCCGGAAUCAUUGGGCGUAAAGCGCGCGUAGGCGGCCAGAUAAGUCCGGUGUGAAAGUCACAGGCUCAACCUGUGAAUGCCGCUGGAAACUGUCUGGCUAGAGUCCGGAAGGGGCGAGUGGAAUUCCUGGUGUAGCGGUGAAUGCGCAGAUAUCAGGAGGAACACCAAUGGCGAAGGCGGCUCACUGGCUCGGUACUGACGCUGAGGCGCGAAAGCGUGGGGAGCAAACAGG
Molecule: ribosomal RNA, 252 nt
Filed under: uncultured bacterium
Lineage: Bacteria
Description: partial 16S ribosomal RNA
Rfam family: Bacterial small subunit ribosomal RNA
Source: RNAcentral